Molecule: ribosomal RNA, 344 nt
Filed under: Micrococcus sp. 5.36
Lineage: Bacteria; Bacillati; Actinomycetota; Actinomycetes; Micrococcales; Micrococcaceae
Description: bacterial SSU rRNA
Rfam family: Bacterial small subunit ribosomal RNA
Source: RNAcentral
AUUCCUGGUGUAGCGGUGGAAUGCGCAGAUAUCAGGAGGAACACCGAUGGCGAACGCAGGUCUCUGGGCUGUAACUGACGCUGAGGAGCGAAAGCAUGGGGAGCGAACAGGAUUAGAUACCCUGGUAGUCCAUGCCGUAAACGUUGGGCACUAGGUGUGGGGACCAUUCCACGGUUUCCGCGCCGUAACUAACGCAUUAAGUGCCCCGCCUGGGGAGUACGGCCGCAAGGCUAAAACUCGAAGGAAUUGACGGGGGCCCGCACAAGCGGCGGAGCAUGCGGAUUAAUUCGAUGCAACGCGAAGAACCUUACCAAGGCUUGACAUGUUCUCGAUCGCCGUAGAGA